CCUACGGGUGGCUGCAGUCGAGGAUCUUCGGCAAUGGGCGCAAGCCUGACCGAGCGACGCCGCGUGCGCGAUGAAGGCCUUCGGGUUGUAAAGCGCUGUCGAGGGGGAGGAAAGCCCCGCAAGGGGCCUGACCUAUCCCUGGAGGAAGCACGGGCUAAGUUCGUGCCAGCAGCCGCGGUAAGACGAACCGUGCGAACGUUGUUCGGAUUCACUGGGCUUAAAGGGCGCGUAGGCGGCUCGCACAGUCGGGGGUGAAAUCUUUCGGCCCAACCGGAAAACGGCCUCCGAUACUGGCGAGCUCGAGCGGGGUAGGGGCACGCGGAACUUCCGGUGGAGCGGUGAAAUGCGUUGAUAUCGGAAGGAACGCCGGUGGCGAAAGCGGCGUGCUGGACCCCCCCUGACGCUGAGGCGCGAAAGCCAGGGGAGCGAACGGGAUUAGA
RNAcentral lists this ribosomal RNA (440 nucleotides) under uncultured bacterium. RNAcentral's name for it is "bacterial SSU rRNA". It matches the Rfam family "Bacterial small subunit ribosomal RNA", at positions 338 to 782 of the family's 1533-position model. The record is from RNAcentral.